AGUGAACGCUGGCGGUAGGCCUAACACAUGCAAGUCGAACGGCAGCACAGUAAGAGCUUGCUCUUACGGGUGGCGAGUGGCGGACGGGUGAGGAAUACAUCGGAAUCUACUUUUUCGUGGGGGAUAACGUAGGGAAACUUACGCUAAUACCGCAUACGACCUACGGGUGAAAGCAGGGGAUCUUCGGACCUUGCGCGAUUGAAUGAGCCGAUGUCGGAUUAGCUAGUUGGCGGGGUAAAGGCCCACCAAGGCGACGAUCCGUAGCUGGUCUGAGAGGAUGAUCAGCCAAACUGGAACUGAGACACGGUCCAGACUCCUACGGGGGGCAGCAGUGGGGAAUAUUGGACAAUGGGCGCAAGCCUGAUCCAGCCAUACCGCGUGGGUGAAGAAGGCCUUCGGGUUGUAAAGCCCUUUUGUUGGGAAAGAAAAGCAGCAGGUUAAUACCCCGCUGUUCUGACGGUACCCAAAGAAUAAGCACCGGCUAACUUCGUG
RNAcentral lists this ribosomal RNA (492 nucleotides) under uncultured bacterium. RNAcentral describes it as "partial 16S ribosomal RNA". It matches the Rfam family "Bacterial small subunit ribosomal RNA", at positions 29 to 507 of the family's 1533-position model. The record is from RNAcentral.